UAGGGAAUCUUCGGCAAUGGGGGCAACCCUGACCGAGCAACGCCGCGUGAGUGAAGCAGGUUUUCGGAUCGUAAAGCUCUGUUGUAAGAUAAGAACGUGUGUGAGAGUGGAAAGUUCACACAGUGACGGUAACUUACCAGAAAGGGACGGCUAACUACGUGCCAGCAGCCGCGGUAAUACGUAGGUCCCGAGCGUUGUCCGGAUUUAUUGGGCGUAAAGCGAGCGCAGGCGGUUUAAUAAGUCUGAAGUUAAAGGCAGUGGCUUAACCAUUGUUCGCUUUGGAAACUGUUAAACUUGAGUGCAGAAGGGGAGAGUGGAAUUCCAUGUGUAGCGGGGAAAUGCGUAGAUAUAUGGAGGAACACCGGUGGCGAAAGCGGCUCUCUGGUCUGUAACAGACGCUGAGGCUCGAAAGCGUGGGGAGCAAACAGG
This 429-nucleotide ribosomal RNA is filed under the name bacterium. RNAcentral's name for it is "partial 16S ribosomal RNA". It matches the Rfam family "Bacterial small subunit ribosomal RNA", at positions 355 to 776 of the family's 1533-position model. The record is from RNAcentral.